Molecule: ribosomal RNA, 261 nt
Filed under: uncultured archaeon
Lineage: Archaea
Description: partial 16S ribosomal RNA
Rfam family: Archaeal small subunit ribosomal RNA
Source: RNAcentral
CAGCCGUAAACAAUGUGCGUUAGGUGUGUCGGUAACCACGUGUUACUGAUGCGCCGAAGAGAAAUCGUGAAACGCACCACCUGGGAAGUACGGUCGCAAGGCUGAAACUUAAAGGAAUUGGCGGGGGAGGCACCGCAACGGGAGGAGCGUGCGGUUUAAUUGGAUUCAACACCGGAAACUCACCAGGGAGGACUGUUACAUGAAACCCAGACUAAUGAUCUUGGUUGAUUUUCAGAGAGGAGGUGCAUGGCGUCAGUGACU